UGGCCAGGCACAGUGGCUCACGCCUGUAAUCCCAGCACUUUGGGAGACCAAGGCAGGUCGAUCACUUGAGGUCAGGAGUUCAAGACCAGCCUGGUCAACAUAGCGAAACCUGGUCUCUACUAAAAAAAUACAAAAAUUAGCCAGGCAUGGUGGCAUGUGCCUGUAAUCACAGCUGCUUGGGAGGCUGAGGCACGGGAAUUGCUUGAACCUGGGAGGCAGAGGUUGCAGUGAGCCGAGAUCAUGCCACUGCACUCCAGCCUAGGCAACAGGGCGAGACUCUGUCUCAAAACAAACAAACAAACAAAAACAUGCACUAAUGCAAAGGCAGUGACCAAACAUAGGCCAUAGCGCUGCAGCUCUCCAGAGGACACUCACUCCUGGUGUGCAUUAAGUCCUAAGUUGCUGGACCAGGGGCCUGGGGGAGAGAGGGAAUCACUUAGGGGGCUGGGGAGGUGGUACUUAACAAGUGGUUACGGAAGUAUUUCUAUAUACAUAUAUAUAUAAAAUAUAUAUAUGGUUUUUUUUCCCAGGUAUGGUGGCUCAUGCCUAUAAUCCCAGCACUUUAGGAGGUCAAGGUGGGUGGAUCACCUGAGAUCAAGAGUUUGAGACCAGCCUGGAUAGCAUGGUGAAACGCCAUCUCUACUAAAA
RNAcentral lists this long non-coding RNA (648 nucleotides) under Homo sapiens (human). RNAcentral describes it as "HSALNT0267834". The record is from RNAcentral. Lineage: Eukaryota; Metazoa; Chordata; Mammalia; Primates; Hominidae.